This 440-nucleotide ribosomal RNA is filed under the name uncultured bacterium. Its description in RNAcentral is "partial 16S ribosomal RNA". It matches the Rfam family "Bacterial small subunit ribosomal RNA", at positions 338 to 795 of the family's 1533-position model. The record is from RNAcentral.
ACUACGGGAGGCAGCAGUGGGGGAUAUUGCACAAUGGGGGAAACCCUGAUGCAGCGACGCCGCGUGAGUGAAGAAGUAUUUCGGUAUGUAAAGCUCUAUCAGCAGGGAAGAAAAUGACAGUACCUGACCAAGAAGCCCCGGCUAACUACGUGCCAGCAGCCGCGGUAAUACGUAGGGGGCAAGCGUUAUCCGGAUUUACUGGGUGUAAAGGGGGCGUAGACGGUUAUGUAAGUCUGGAGUGAAAGCCCGGGGCCCAACCCCGGGACUGCUUUGGAAACUGUGUAACUGGAGUACAGGAGGGGCAGGCGGAAUUCCUGGUGUAGCGGUGAAAUGCGUAGAUAUCAGGAGGAACACCGGCGGCGAAGGCGGCCUGCUGGACUGAAACUGACGUUGAGGCUCGAAAGCGUGGGGAGCAAACAGGAUUAGAUACCCCAGUAGUC